Molecule: unclassified non-coding RNA, 213 nt
Filed under: uncultured fungus
Lineage: Eukaryota; Fungi
Description: partial contains 18S rRNA, ITS1, 5.8S rRNA, ITS2 and 28S rRNA
Source: RNAcentral
AAGGAUCAUUCGUAAUAAGUGUUUUAUGGCACUUUAAAAUCCAUAUCCACCUUGUGUGCAAUGUCAGCCUGACCCCACAUCCCAGCAAUGGGUGUGUGUGAAGGGUUUCAUUAUCCACGUCCAUAGUUUUUCUUUUUCCAGUCUACAUACUUAGAGUAGUAGAGUAGUAAACGAACUCAAAUACAACUUUCAACAACGGAUCUCUAGGCUCUC